GUCUGCUGGCAGCUGAAACUUCUUUGGUGUCAGAGUCGGGUCGUCCCGAGACCACAAACGGCCACGUCUGUAAAAUCAGAAGAGCGUCAGACAUAAGAGGAGAAACGGCAAUCUCAAACCGAAACCGCUCAGCUAAGCGGACCUGUGAGAGUCCUGGUUCUGAGUAGCUCAGACUUCAUCAGCGCUCUGGAAUGCGCCUGUCCUCUCUCUAAACUAGAAUUUAAAAUUUACCGGAUUUUGAUUGUAAAGUAGGGCCUGUUCAAUCAAAUCUGUCAGACUCUUAGCUGGAAAAAGUUGCGCGAGGAGGGAAGAUUUGCCAUUUCCUCUGCAAAGAACCCAGAUUCACCCCAACUUGAAGUUAAACUGCAGGGACAGAUAUUAAGUAAAGGACCCUAAAUCACCAGGCUGGUUUCAGCGAGAGAACUGUGUGUGGAGGAGGAACUUGCCCAGAUCCACUUGACUUCCCUUCUAGAAGGUUCUUCAUGGUUUCCCAAGCUCGAGAGGACUUCAGAUCUCCCUUACCUGUGCAGCGAUCAACAGGCCUGGCCUUUGACCGUAUGAAGCUCUGAAGUAUUUGUGUACAGAUCCAGGAGCGCUGCCGGCGGAGCGCACAGGGCACAGGAGGUCAGGUGCCCGCGUGUUACAGCGCCUCCUGUGGUGGCCGUCUCCUGUUUGUUCAAGGCAAAGAAGGGCCGUGCUACCACAGACUGGAGUCAGACGUAGCCGCUUGCAGCCACGAGAGCUGACGUUAAAGGACCAUCUCUGUUUUCCAAACAAGCUGUGUUUACUCUGGCCUCUCCAGGGCUAGCCCGGCCCAUUUCCUCAUCGUGUUUAUGCAGCAUUGCUCCGUUUACAUACUUCUUCCCAAACCCUGAUGGCAGCUCCACACAUGGUGACUUUUCACCUCCAUCAGGUAACACCUUUUCCUUCCAUGUCACAUCCCACACUGAUGGGAGAGCAUAGUAACCGCCAAAUGCGUUCUCUUCUGCUGCUGUCUGGUGAUUACCUAGUAACAUCGGAAA
Molecule: long non-coding RNA, 1022 nt
Organism: Eptesicus fuscus (big brown bat)
Lineage: Eukaryota; Metazoa; Chordata; Mammalia; Chiroptera; Vespertilionidae
Exons: 5
Source: RefSeq, a predicted model, not a curated record